AAAAUUUAUUUAGGUGAAGUCACAAACAUUUUUUUUUUAAUCGAUUUACAAACACUUCAUGUUAAGCAUAUUAUUGAAACUAUCAAGAAAGUUAAAGGAGAGCAGAUAACGGCAGUUGGUUUUUUUUUCCUGAAACAACUAAAGGCAAACCCUUACCAUCAAGCGCGUUACUGGAUCAUAGUAUUACCUUGAUCAUACUCCCUAGUAUGCGAGGGGAGAGGAAAAGAAAACAAAAUACGGAGAUGUAAAACAAUUAAACCAUGAACCAAUGAAUGAUUUUCAUGAACGUCAGACCACAAAAGUCUGGUCUGACGUUCAAGAUGCUAACUAUUCUAUGAGGAUAAAACAAGAACAAUAAUUUAGGUCAGCUAUUAAAUCCGUUCAAGAAUUUUGCAAUGCAUACAUGGGCUAUAAAUUACUUCUGGAAAUGACAGCAAUGGUUAAAGAACUUUGUUCAGAGCAGAACGAAGAGGUGGUACUGAGCCUCACAGAAUAAUUUUGUCAACAACCUGAGUUAUACCAAAUGUAGGAUACUGCGUCAAGUCAAAUAUACAUUUCUGUUGCAGAUAUUGUCAAUGAAAUGCUAAAAUUAACAGGUGUAACAAGACAAGGUAGGAUUUAUUUUUUAAGCAAAUAUAGUACACAGAUUUUGUUUUUUUUUUGAAGUGUCCAGUCGUGAUCUGCAAAGAUCCAGGAUUGCACACAAGUUUGCUCAAAUGAGAAGGGUUAAUCUGCGCAUUAAAUUGGCUUAUACUCUCAAAGUAGUAUUUUAGGGCAGGGCUCUCCUCCGGGAGACCGUUCCUGACCUCAUUCAAUCAAUGUUCAAUUUAUUCACUCUCCUGAAUCUUUGCCCUCUUUGGAUAGUCUGUGACAAGUGCUGCGCUGCAGGAAUUCCUGUUUUCCAGCAAACCGGCUUGCUCUGCAGGUUUGUAGUCCAUUGUUACAAUUGCUGAUUGGGUAAAAUGAAUUUCCUACGUCUUCUCUAGCACAGCUUGCAACGCAACAGAAGCAGAGGUAAAAGAAUGCACUAGAAUACCAGAGCUCCACUUAAACACCAACGGAGUCAGGCUUUUUAUAUAUAAACUCACCCGCUUAUCCUGCCUGCCAUUCCAACUGGCCUUCUGCUUUCACGGAGUCUGAAAUAAAAAGAAAGAAACUAAGAAUUGUCCAAAGAUAAUCCAGGCAUAAAUUCGUAGGAAUGAACCUCAGCUAUCCUAUAACACACGUGCCAAUCACUGCUCUUAAACAAAAACGAGGGUUUCUCACUUUACCAAACGCAAAGCAAAGUUACAGCUCUCUACUUGCUCUCAAGAAGUUGCAACUGGCCUCAAACACAUCCUUUCAUUUUUGUUGACUUUCUACUGGUUGACCUUCUGUGGAACUGCAAAACUAGAGAGAUACAGACACCGCAACAAGCUGAAACGUAAGGAGCACCCUCUGAAUGGGAAGAUGAAAUAGAAUUUGGCUGCCUAAUGCUGACCUUUGAAGCCAUGAAAACAAAAUCAAUUCAAGCAAUCUUGAAGAAAAGGCCUCUGUAAAACAGUUUCCCUUCCUCUUGUGACAGUACGAAGGUACUCAGAUUCUGGUCAAAGCCUGCUCUCUAUAAAAGCCUAUUCUCUCCCAUUUAAAUGAGAGAACUGUCUUGCCCCAAUGUCAAGUCACAGCCUUUUAUUCCUUUCAAGCAGUUACACAACAUGGAGCUCGCAAGGAGCUGCGUGUGGGCGAGGGGGAAACCCAUAGGUCACCUGGUGUUUCCCUGCUGCUGCCGUGCCAGUAACAAGCUCAAGCUUUAUCCCAGGCCUGGUCUACAUUUAACAGCUGCUCAGGCAAUCGUUUCAGUUAAGGACUUUUUCUUUAAAAAACAGUUAUAAAAUACCCUGUGCUACCAAUUAAUAUCUGCUCCAAUAAUAGAGAAGUAGUUGAACCCACAAUGAACAGCAGCUACACAGCCUUCACUUUUACUUUCCAUUAUGCUACUAUAGCAAUGUAGCUUUUACAUUCAAGCCAAUCAUUAAGCUAAAAGUUGGUAUUUAGCAUACUAGCUAACUAAAAUAAAUAAGCUUUAUUUCAAUUCACACAGCUUACAGUAUCUUCUUUAGACGCAAGUAAAGUCAAUGCCAAUGCUCAAAUUCAUUGGAAAAUUUGCACAAAAUCAGAGAUGGAGACAUGGGGUGCCUAGCAGCAGCAGCCUGGAGCUCUGCACUCACAGAACAGCUAUUGUGAGAGUUACAGUCUAGUUAACGUUACAAACUGAAGAUCCCGUGCAGGACAAGAUGAAAGAUAAGAGGUGUUUUCCAUCUGGUGCUCACAUAACAUCAGUAGUAAAACAAAAACCGAGCUGCUGUUGCCAAGAAUGGAGAAAUCUAAACAAAGAUAUCAGAACGAGUUAGGUAAUCUGGAAUACCAAACACAGACAGCACCAAGGCCAUACAGCUGGCAUUGGGAUCUAUUACGGCAUUCAUUAAAAGGUAUUAGUUUCCAUUCCUUUCCAUGCAGGUUGGCCCAAGAUGUUGCUAGAGAAGUCAGCAGUUGGUGCAAUGCAUUGAACACUUGCAGAUAUCCUGAAAAACACUGUCCCUUUCCAGAUCAGACUAAUUCAGCCACUGCUGAGUGAGUAUCCUACGGUAUCUGUUGAGCAAAACCCUUUGGGAUGGCAAAGAUUCUUCCUACGGGCCUAAAAAAAAUAGUUGAGAAAUAAAUAUGAAUAAUCUAACAGAAUCCUUCAACCAUCAGUCAGCUGGCAUGAAACUCUAAACAUUUGGUGCCCAGUGUAUGUCACACCAUGCAUCUGACAGAUUCCAGCCACCAGUAUCCUAAAAAAAUCAAAAGCUGCAGUACAGCCCCAAAUAUAGACAGGCAGCACUCUUGUACUACUGGUGCUUGCUGUCACCACUCAAGUAGUGGAAACAGCAAAUUUGCCCAUGUAUGUUUGUGGUUAUGCCAAUUCAGUGACACUCGAUGCUUGCAAUAAAAGCAAAUCCUUGACAAAAACAAAAUCCCUCCCUGCUUCCCCUAAUCACACGCAUUCCACAAAACAGGCCAGAACUUGUGGACUAAACCUACGGAGGCUGAAACUAAAUUACAUCUCCAAAUCAUGGUAAAUUUGCAAGCUGCAGCCAUUCAAACUGAAGUUCCUCUUCACUGACACCCAUGUUUACGGCCUCCGACGCAGCUUGCAGCUACCACAUGCUCCCACAGUAACAGGCCUCUACUCUUUGUCUCAGGAUCUUAGAUACAAUUUUAUUGCUGAGAAAGCUAUUUGUUUUAAGACAAUUCGAAAAAAAAAAGAAAAGGAACCUUUCUUCUGAUGUCCUAAGGAAAACGCGUUACAUCCCAAGGGAGAGAACGACUGGCAUUUCCAACUCCUGAGGGGCAGAGCGAUAGAUACUGCAGCUAUAUGCUGUGAGUCCCCUUCCCCACAGCGCCCACCCCUCCCUGCAGACACGGUCCAACAUCUCACAGACCCGGGCCAAAGCCCUCCACGGGCACAGGGAUGGGAAGCAGCCACCCCAGCUCCCCUCGCCCCUUCUCUGCUCCUCCAAAGGGCACCACCGGGGCCAGGGAACCACCCUGCUGCCUGCCGUCACACCUGGCUCUUCUCCUCCUUCUUGGGGCUCUGGGAUGACGACGACGAUGAAGGCGGUGGCUGUGCCGGCGGCGCGGCCUUCGGCUCGCUC
Molecule: long non-coding RNA, 3677 nt
Organism: Gallus gallus (chicken)
Lineage: Eukaryota; Metazoa; Chordata; Aves; Galliformes; Phasianidae
Source: Ensembl